This 881-nucleotide ribosomal RNA is filed under the name uncultured Duganella sp. RNAcentral describes it as "bacterial SSU rRNA". It matches the Rfam family "Bacterial small subunit ribosomal RNA", at positions 58 to 936 of the family's 1533-position model. Lineage: Bacteria; Pseudomonadati; Pseudomonadota; Betaproteobacteria; Burkholderiales; Oxalobacteraceae. The record is from RNAcentral.
CAAGUCGAACGGCAGCGCGGACUUCGGUCUGGCGGCGAGUGGCGAACGGGUGAGUAAUAUAUCGGAACGUACCCAGGAGUGGGGGAUAACGUAGCGAAAGUUACGCUAAUACCGCAUACGUCCUAAGGGAGAAAGCAGGGGAUCGCAAGACCUUGUGCUCAUGGAGCGGCCGAUAUCUGAUUAGCUAGUUGGUGGGGUAAAAGCCUACCAAGGCAACGAUCAGUAGCUGGUCUGAGAGGACGACCAGCCACACUGGAACUGAGACACGGUCCAGACUCCUACGGGAGGCAGCAGUGGGGAAUUUUGGACAAUGGGGGCAACCCUGAUCCAGCAAUGCCGCGUGAGUGAAGAAGGCCCUCGGGUUGUAAAGCUCUUUUGUCAGGGAAGAAAAGGUUGCGGCUAAUAUCCGCGACUCAUGACGGUACCUGAAGAAUAAGCACCGGCUAACUACGUGCCAGCAGCCGCGGUAAUACGUAGGGUGCAAGCGUUAAUCGGAAUUACUGGGCGUAAAGCGUGCGCAGGCGGUUUUGUAAGACUGUCGUGAAAUCCCCGGGCUUAACCUGGGAAUGGCGAUGGUGACUGCAAGGCUAGAGUUUGGCAGAGGGGGGUAGAAUUCCACGUGUAGCAGUGAAAUGCGUAGAUAUGUGGAGGAACACCGAUGGCGAAGGCAGCCCCCCUGGGUCAAAACUGACGCUCAUGCACGAAAGCGUGGGGAGCAAACAGGAUUAGAUACCCUGGUAGUCCACGCCCUAAACGAUGUCUACUAGUUGUCGGGUCUUAAUUGACUUGGUAACGCAGCUAACGCGUGAAGUAAACCGCCUGGGGAGUACGGUCGCAAGAUUAAACUCAAAGGAAUUGACGGGGACCCGCACAGCGGUGGA